UCAUUGGAGAGUUUGAUCCUGGCUCAGGACGAACGCUGGCGGCGUGCUUAACACAUGCAAGUCGUACGGUAAGGCCCUUUCGGGGGUACACGAGUGGCGAACGGGUGAGUAACACGUGAGUAACCUGCCC
RNAcentral lists this ribosomal RNA (130 nucleotides) under Cutibacterium sp. Its description in RNAcentral is "partial 16S ribosomal RNA". It matches the Rfam family "Bacterial small subunit ribosomal RNA", at positions 1 to 131 of the family's 1533-position model. The record is from RNAcentral. Lineage: Bacteria; Bacillati; Actinomycetota; Actinomycetes; Propionibacteriales; Propionibacteriaceae.